RNAcentral lists this long non-coding RNA (828 nucleotides) under Equus asinus (donkey). RNAcentral describes it as "lncRNA (ENSEASG00005026600.1)". Lineage: Eukaryota; Metazoa; Chordata; Mammalia; Perissodactyla; Equidae. The record is from RNAcentral.
CAUUGCUUUGGUAUUGGGUCACCUGCUUGCAUUAAGGGACGUUGUGAGAAAUUGGUGCUUGUACAAAGGUUGUUACUGUCUCCUGAGCUCUUGCAAAGACAAAGUUUGCAACAACCAACGCUAUUGCUUCUGAGGACCUGGAGGAGAAAUUCUUCUCAGGUGUCAGCCAUAGAAGAGGCAGGCCACCUGCUAAAUGACUCACCUGCAUUUAUCUUACUGCUGGUGGGAAUUUUGUAGCUAACCCUGUUCCUCUCUUUGCUUUGUGAGCUGGAAGCUUGGGGCCAAGUUCGCGAGCCACCUCUGUCAGCAAUGAACUCUCCAGCUUCAUUUUUUUCCUACUUAAAAUUUUCAUUUUCCUGUUUCCCUCAACAACUUAGUCCAGCAUCUUGAAUUACUUGCAUUUUUGGAAGUUACAUCAAAUCCUUGGUGGACUGAGGCAAAAUAUAAAGGAAAUAUGGAGAAAACAGGCAGAAAGAAAAUGAUCCCACAGAAAAAGAAAGAAUUGCAGGGAAAAACAAAGACUAAUGGAAAAUUUCCCUCUUUGGUUGGAUGCACUUGGUUGCCACCAGUUCCAGUGACAGCUUCAGGGCCCAUUCCAACUGCUUCUUACUAGUGAAUGUCAGCUCUGUAAAAGCAAGGACUUUCCUUUGAUCACUUCAUCUCCAGCACCAAGAACAGUGCCUGGCAUGUUGAAGGCAUUCGAUAAAUAUUGUUGAAUUGAUGAAUAAAUGCAUUUUUAUGAAUUAUUCCACACAUUUAUGAAUUUUUCAGUAAUUAUUCAAUACAGUGAAUGUUAUACAAUAAAAAAUAGAUCUAUUAUCCUGAUAU